UACGAGAGGCCCAAACGUUAUUCGGAAUUACUGGGCUUAAAGAGUUCGUAGGCGGCGCAGAAAGUAGGGUGUGAAAGCCCUCGGCUCAACCGAGGAAUUGCGCUCUAAACUACUGUGCUUGAGGGACCUAGAGGUGAGCGGAACUGAUGGUGGAGCGGUGAAAUGCGUUGAUAUCAUCAGGAACACCGGAGGCGAAGGCGGCUCACUGGGGGUCUUCUGACGCUGAGGAACGAAAGCCAGGGGAGCAAACAGG
Molecule: ribosomal RNA, 253 nt
Filed under: uncultured bacterium
Lineage: Bacteria
Description: partial 16S ribosomal RNA
Rfam family: Bacterial small subunit ribosomal RNA
Source: RNAcentral